CCUACGGGGGGCAGCAGUGAGGAAUAUUGGUCAAUGGGCGCGAGCCUGAACCAGCCAAGUAGCGUGAAGGAUGACUGCCCUACGGGUUGUAAACUUCUUUUAUAAAGGAAUAAAGUGAGGCACGUGUGCCUUUUUGUAUGUACUUUAUGAAUAAGGAUCGGCUAACUCCGUGCCAGCAGCCGCGGUAAUACGGAGGAUCCGAGCGUUAUCCGGAUUUAUUGGGUUUAAAGGGAGCGUAGAUGGGUUGUUAAGUCAGUUGUGAAAGUUUGCGGCUCAACCGUAAAAUUGCAAUUGAUACUGGCAGCCUUGAGUACAGUUGAGGUAGGCGGAAUGCGUGGUGUAGCGGUGAAAUGCAUAGAUAUCACGCAGAACUCCGAUUGCGAAGGCAGCUUACUAAACUAUAACUGACACUGAAGCACGAAAGCGUGGGGAUCAAACAGGAUUAGAUACCCGUGUAGUC
RNAcentral lists this ribosomal RNA (460 nucleotides) under uncultured bacterium. RNAcentral describes it as "partial 16S ribosomal RNA". It matches the Rfam family "Bacterial small subunit ribosomal RNA", at positions 338 to 795 of the family's 1533-position model. The record is from RNAcentral.